This 457-nucleotide unclassified non-coding RNA is filed under the name uncultured Lactarius. RNAcentral's name for it is "sequence contains ITS2". The stretch from base 1 to 154 matches the Rfam family "5.8S ribosomal RNA". The record is from RNAcentral. Lineage: Eukaryota; Fungi; Basidiomycota; Agaricomycetes; Russulales; Russulaceae.
AACUUUCAACAAUGGAUCACUUGGCUCUCGCAUCGAUGAAGAACGCAGCGAAAUGCGAUACGUAUUGUGAAUUGCAGAAUUCAGUGAAUCAUCGAAUCUUUGAACGCAACUUGCGCCCCUUGGUAUUCCGAGGGGCACACCCGUUUGAGUGUCGUGAAAAUCUCAAACUUCUCGGUUUCUUCUGGACACCGAAGGAGGCCUGGACUUUCGAGGCCUUUGCUGGCGUCUCUCGCCAGCUCCUCUCAAAGGAAUUUGUGGGGUCCUCGUUGCCGAUCCUCGCCGUGUGAUAAGAUGUUUCCAUGUCUUGGUUUAUGGCUCUGGUGCUUGUGGGACCCGCUUCUAACCGUCUCAACGAGACAACGGUCGAGCGUGUCGAACACUCUUGAACCCACGAACCCUUGACCUCAAAUCGGGUGAGACUACCCGCUGAACUUAAGCAUAUCAAUAAGCGGAGGCU